UACGGAGGGCGCAAGCGUUGUUCGGAAUCACUGGGCAUAAAGAGCACGUAGGCGGUCUGCUAAGUCAAAUGUGAAAGCCCCCGGCUCAACCGGGGAACAGCAUUCGAUACUGGCAGGCUAGAGGAAGGCAGGGGUGAGUGGAACUCCAGGUGGAACGGUGAAAUGUGUAGAUAUCUGGAGGAACACCGGUGGCGAAAGCGGCUCACUGGGCCUUUCCUGACGCUAAGGUGCGAAAGCUAGGGUAGCAAACGGG
RNAcentral lists this ribosomal RNA (253 nucleotides) under uncultured bacterium. RNAcentral's name for it is "partial 16S ribosomal RNA". It matches the Rfam family "Bacterial small subunit ribosomal RNA", at positions 524 to 776 of the family's 1533-position model. The record is from RNAcentral.